CAAGUCGAGCGGACAGAUGGGAGCUUGCUCCCUGAUGUUAGCGGCGGACGGGUGAGUAACACGUGGGUAACCUGCCUGUAAGACUGGGAUAACUCCGGGAAACCGGGGCUAAUACCGGAUGGUUGUUUGAACCGCAUGGUUCAGACAUAAAAGGUGGCUUCGGCUACCACUUACAGAUGGACCCGCGGCGCAUUAGCUAGUUGGUGAGGUAACGGCUCACCAAGGCGACGAUGCGUAGCCGACCUGAGAGGGUGAUCGGCCACACUGGGACUGAGACACGGCCCAGACUCCUACGGGAGGCAGCAGUAGGGAAUCUUCCGCAAUGGACGAAAGUCUGACGGAGCAACGCCGCGUGAGUGAUGAAGGUUUUCGGAUCGUAAAGCUCUGUUGUUAGGGAAGAACAAGUGCCGUUCAAAUAGGGCGGCACCUUGACGGUACCUAACCAGAAAGCCACGGCUAACUACGUGCCAGCAGCCGCGGUAAUACGUAGGUGGCAAGCGUUGUCCCGGAAUUAUUGGGCGUAAAGGGCUCGCAGGCGGUUUCUUAAGUCUGAUGUGAAAGCCCCCGGCUCAACCGGGGAGGGUCAUUGGAAACUGGGGAACUUGAGUGCAGAAGAGGAGAGUGGAAUUCCACGUGUAGCGGUGAAAUGCGUAGAGAUGUGGAGGAACACCAGUGGCGAAGGCGACUCUCUGGUCUGUAACUGACGCUGAGGAGCGAAAGCGUGGGGAGCGAACAGGAUUAGAUACCCUGGUAGUCCACGCCGUAAACGAUGAGUGCUAAGUGUUAGGGGGUUUCCGCCCCUUAGUGCUGCAGCUAACGCAUUAAGCACUCCGCCUGGGGAGUACGGUCGCAAGACUGAAACUCAAAGGAAUUGACGGGGGCCCGCACAAGCGGUGCAGCAUGUGGUUUAAUUCGAAGCAACGCGAAGAACCUUACCAGGUCUUGACAUCCUCUGACAAUCCUAGAGAUAGGACGUCCCCUUCGGGGGCAGAGUGACAGGUGGUGCAUGGUUGUCGUCAGCUCGUGUCGUGAGAUGUUGGGUUAAGUCCCGCAACGAGCGCAACCCUUGAUCUUAGUUGCCAGCAUUCAGUUGGGCACUCUAAGGUGACUGCCGGUGACAAACCGGAGGAAGGUGGGGAUGACGUCAAAUCAUCAUGCCCCUUAUGACCUGGGCUACACACGUGCUACAAUGGACAGAACAAAGGGCAGCGAAACCGCGAGGUUAAGCCAAUCCCACAAAUCUGUUCUCAGUUCGGAUCGCAGUCUGCAACUCGACUGCGUGAAGCUGGAAUCGCUAGUAAUCGCGGAUCAGCAUGCCGCGGUGAAUACGUUCCCGGGCCUUGUACACACCGCCCGUCACACCACGAGAGUUUGUAACACCCGAAGUCGGUGAGGUAACCUUUUAGGAGCCAGCC
This 1415-nucleotide ribosomal RNA is filed under the name Bacillus velezensis. RNAcentral describes it as "bacterial SSU rRNA". It matches the Rfam family "Bacterial small subunit ribosomal RNA". The record is from RNAcentral. Lineage: Bacteria; Bacillati; Bacillota; Bacilli; Caryophanales; Bacillaceae.